CCUACGGGGGGCUGCAGUGGGGAAUAUUGCACAAUGGGCGCAAGCCUGAUGCAGCCAUGCCGCGUGUGUGAAGAAGGCCUUCGGGUUGUAAAGCACUUUCAGCGGGGAGGAGGGCGGUGAGGUUAAUAACCUCAUCGAUUGACGUUACCCGCAGAAGAAGCACCGGCUAACUCCGUGCCAGCAGCCGCGGUAAUACGGAGGGUGCAAGCGUUAAUCGGAAUUACUGGGCGUAAAGCGCACGCAGGCGGUCUGUCAAGUCGGAUGUGAAAUCCCCGGGCUCAACCUGGGAACUGCAUUCGAAACUGGCAGGCUAGAGUCUUGUAGAGGGGGGUAGAAUUCCAGGUGUAGCGGUGAAAUGCGUAGAGAUCUGGAGGAAUACCGGUGGCGAAGGCGGCCCCCUGGACAAAGACUGACGCUCAGGUGCGAAAGCGUGGGGAGUAAACAGGAUUAGAUACCCUAGUAGUC
RNAcentral lists this ribosomal RNA (465 nucleotides) under uncultured Klebsiella sp. Its description in RNAcentral is "bacterial SSU rRNA". It matches the Rfam family "Bacterial small subunit ribosomal RNA", at positions 338 to 795 of the family's 1533-position model. The record is from RNAcentral. Lineage: Bacteria; Pseudomonadati; Pseudomonadota; Gammaproteobacteria; Enterobacterales; Enterobacteriaceae.